RNAcentral lists this non-coding RNA (130 nucleotides) under Streptomyces jeddahensis. RNAcentral's name for it is "Streptomyces RNA 5676". It matches the Rfam family "Streptomyces RNA 5676". Rfam says of the family: Identified by deep sequencing of transcriptome at the end of exponential growth phase. Appears longer on northern blot than sequencing transcript. This indicates processing step. Lineage: Bacteria; Bacillati; Actinomycetota; Actinomycetes; Kitasatosporales; Streptomycetaceae. The record is from Rfam by way of RNAcentral.
AGAUGAGAGAAACACCCCGCUCACAGGCGACUGUGGGCGACGCCAGGUCGUGGCCUCCCCAGCUCCGUCCUGGUCGUGCCUUCGCGCACACCUCCGGAGUUUCAGGCUCCGGAACUCCUCACCGGUCGGA